GGACAAGGGCGAGGUGGCGCUGGUUAUAUCGGCUCGUCGACGGUGACCAAAAGAACGGCGGCAGCAGAAGCUAGCUCCGGCGGGCGAUUUCGGCAGCGUGGGCGCGAGAGAGGCGAAUGCGAGAGAGGGGAAAGGACGAGGGGGACGUUGGCUUUAUAGAGACGUGCAAGGAAAGCUGCGGGGUGCACGGGAAGGAAAGAAUCAGCGGCGAGGGUGCUCGCGGUCGUCACGCGGAGAUUCCGGCACUUGUCUUCCAGGGAAGACAAGCCUGACAGGCGGGUCCCGCCUGGGCUGCGGCUGCGGUCGGCGCGUGCGGGGAGGUGAGUUGGGCCGGUUCGGCCCAAGUCGGCCGGGCCUGUCCGUUUCUUCUUGUUUUUUGUUCUUUCCUUUUUUUUCUUUUUUCUUUUAUAAAUUUUGAUUUUGAACUCCAAAUCAAACCAAAUAAAUUCUAGAAAAUUUGUAAAAUCAAAUCCUCAAAUGCUUUAGCCGGUGGGACUUGAUUUCAUUCAAAAUAAAAUAUUCAAAAAUAGUUUUGCUUGUAAAUUUGUCUUUAGGGCUUUAUAACUAAUAAAUUAAAAUAGUUUUUCAACUCCAAUUUAAAUACUAAAAAUUAUGGGGUAGCUCAUUUAUGCAAUAAACCCCCUUUUAUGAUCAAAACCCUAUUGGGUUGAAAAUCCAAUUCGCAAAAGGGAGAUGAAAGUCAA
Molecule: long non-coding RNA, 704 nt
Filed under: Brachypodium distachyon (stiff brome)
Lineage: Eukaryota; Viridiplantae; Streptophyta; Magnoliopsida; Poales; Poaceae
Description: long non-coding RNA (BDIS_LNC001031)
Source: RNAcentral